Non-coding RNA from Syngnathoides biaculeatus (alligator pipefish), 818 nucleotides. NCBI's taxonomy places the organism in Eukaryota, Metazoa, Chordata, Actinopteri, Syngnathiformes, Syngnathidae. The record is from the annotation of a RefSeq genome assembly.
UAAAGUUGAUUCUGAUCUUUCCCCAUCUGGAAGCAGUAGGACGUGUUAUGACGCGCACAGCAGCCAAUCAUGGAGAAACCAGGAAGAACACCGUGGGAUUGCUUAUAAAAUGGAGCUUUUUUAUUUUACAAAUAGAAGGCAAAUCCACACUUGGAUGCACGUUAAAUAUUACUGCGCUGACCUCCCUGCCCCCGUGGUGACAGUCUUCCCACCAGCAAGUGCCCAGCUCCAGUCCAAAGAGGCCACCCUGGUCUGCGUGGCCACUCAGUCGCUCCCGAUCGCAGACGUCACGUGGCUGGCUCGCGGCCUUCCGGCGAGAGGCGCCGUCGUGACCGGUCCCGCCGUGCGACAGGCGGACCGUACUUACAAGAUCAGCAGCUAUUUGACCGUGGAGACGUCCGACUGGGACGCGGACGCCGCUUACACCUGUAAAGUGUCUUUGGGCUCCAAGUCUGCCGAAAGCACCAUCAACAAAUCCAAGUGUGAGAUUUAGAUGGUCAGUAUUUAGUUUGCGGGCCGACCAGGCCAUACCAAUGAUGUGUUUGCGUGCUUAUAGGAAGUGUUUGCUUUCUGUCUCCUUGCUAGAAUGCUUCAGAAUUCUUCAAUAAAAACAUGUCAUGAAUGUUUUAUGGGUUGAUAAUUCCAUUUAGAUUCAACCACUUAUUCGUUUUGACCCGUCUAAUGCAUGUCCGAGCUGUCCUCUUCAAUGACGAGCCACUCUCAAGUAAACAUGAUGGACAGACUCCACCAACAAUAAUGUAUUAAUUUCUACCUUGGCUGGAAAUGAUUACUUAUUAAUAUAAACAAAGCCUCUCAAG